UACGUAGGGGGCAAGCGUUGUCCGGAAUCAUUGGGCGUAAAGCGCGUGUAGGCGGCCCGAUAAGUCCGCUGUGAAAGUCCAGGGCUCAACCCUGGAAUGCCGGUGGAUACUGUCGGGCUAGAGUCCGGAAGAGGCGAGUGGAAUUCCUGGUGUAGCGGUGAAAUGCGCAGAUAUCAGGAAGAACACCAAUGGCGAAGGCAGCUCUCUGGGACGGUACUGACGCUGAGACGCGAAAGCGUGGGGAGCGAACAGG
This 253-nucleotide ribosomal RNA is filed under the name uncultured bacterium. Its description in RNAcentral is "partial 16S ribosomal RNA". It matches the Rfam family "Bacterial small subunit ribosomal RNA", at positions 524 to 776 of the family's 1533-position model. The record is from RNAcentral.